This is a long non-coding RNA of Ceratina calcarata, 648 nucleotides long. RefSeq lists it as uncharacterized. The record is from RefSeq and is a predicted model, not a curated record. NCBI's taxonomy places the organism in Eukaryota, Metazoa, Arthropoda, Insecta, Hymenoptera, Apidae. The transcript is spliced from 5 exons.
GUAGCGCGGUAUAACGAGGGAAUGGCGUGCCUUGCUCAUAAUUGAACCGAGCACCUACAAUCCAAUCGUUCUUAAUCAUUCGAAUUCAUCUCGCCGACCAGUUCCGUUCCCCAUUAUUGCUCGUUGCCUGGCUAAGAAACAUACCCCACGCUACUUCGCUGCCAAUAACCUGGAACUGUCGUUCGAACAGAAGACAUUCGAUAAGGAUCGAAGAACCGUUGAAAGGAUAUUCAUUAUAUUCCUGAAAGUCUGGAGUCUCCGUAACAGCUUUUAAAAGGUGACAAAAUCCCCUUAGAGCAGGCUUCGAGGGUGGACCAAGUUACAAUUAAUUAAUUGACUUCGAGCCCCUGUAAUUCAUGCGGUGUAUGCACGUUUGCGUUCCGGCAUAGGAUCAUCGAUAAGAAUGGACUCCACGUUUGAACAAAAGGAGGACGUUUUAAAGGACUACCAAUCAUGUAUUACGUGACGUUCCGGGUGAACAAGUGGUGAAAUAUGAAAUCUUCCGCAUUCUCGCAGUUAUUCAAUCGGGAGAAAGGGAAUUCAAGGCGAAUUGUGAAAAUAUGGAAAUGUGCAAUCCUUCUCCUCGAAGAAUUUCCUAUUCAAUGACUGUUCCGUACAUAAUAAAGUUCGAUUUUAAUACAUAUAAGA